GUCGGGCGUGGUGGUGCGUGCCUAAAGUCCUAGCUAUUCGGGAGGCUGAGGUGGGAGGAUCGCUUGAGCCCAGGAGUUCUGGGCUGUAGUGCGCUAUGCCACACUAAGUUCGGCAUCAAUAUGGUGACCUCCCAGGAGCCGGGGACCACCAGGUUGCCUAAGGAGAGGUGAACCGGCCCAGGUCAGAAACAGCAGAUCAAAACUCCUGUGCUGAUCAGUAGUGGGAUCACGCCUGUGAAUAGUCACUGCACUCCAGCCUGGGCAACAUAGCGAGAUGCUGUCUCU
RNAcentral lists this signal recognition particle RNA (285 nucleotides) under Aotus nancymaae (Ma's night monkey). RNAcentral describes it as "Metazoan signal recognition particle RNA (ENSANAG00000007055.1)". It matches the Rfam family "Metazoan signal recognition particle RNA". Rfam says of the family: The signal recognition particle (SRP) is a universally conserved ribonucleoprotein. It is involved in the co-translational targeting of proteins to membranes. Lineage: Eukaryota; Metazoa; Chordata; Mammalia; Primates; Aotidae. The record is from RNAcentral.